Ziziphus jujuba (common jujube) is the source of this 1073-nucleotide long non-coding RNA. RefSeq lists it as uncharacterized. Lineage: Eukaryota; Viridiplantae; Streptophyta; Magnoliopsida; Rosales; Rhamnaceae. The transcript has 3 exons. The record is from RefSeq and is a predicted model, not a curated record.
AAGAGAGGAAGAGAAAGUGAGAAAGAAUGGCAAAACGACUUGGGAUGAGCAAAGAGUUCUUCAGGAGGAGGGACGGAAGUCAAUAAUCAUCGUUUAGAUGGUUUCUUCCUUGUCAAAUCUAAGAUGAAAGUGCAGGGAUUAAAGCGUGGAACUGAAAGCCUAUCUAGGAAUUUGCAGGUGAUUUAUGCUUUGUCGCUGGACAAGUCAAAUCUGGCUGUUUCAAAAUAUCAAGCGGAGUGCAUGGAUGCUAAAGGAUUAGUAGAACCAAACCAUCAAACUCCAGAGGGUUGUCAACAUCUCUCUUGAGUACCCUUUCAAGGAUCUUGGGAUUGCUGAAAAUAUUAUAUUACAAGGCUUGAGCAAUAAUUCUUACCUUUGUUUUUUGUAUUUGGUUUUUCCCUUUUCUAGCUGUUUUGUUUUUUUAAUCACAAUUUUUCUUUUCUUAUUAGAAGUUAGAACAGCUUAUAUAUCAUAUUAAAUGAAGUAAAGUAAGGAUCACAAUGAUAACUAGUGUAUCUACUGGAAGUGGCAAACUGAACUAUGGAGUGAAUGAUUUCAAGGAAAAUUGUUGUAAAAGAUCUUCAUGGAUCACCAGCAUGACUUUUAGCAUAUGCAUACAGAAAGAAAUUUCAUGAUAUGCUAAGGAUCUUAGUACUAAAAACAGUUUACAUGUACUAAAUCUUACUAGCUGGGGGUAUGUUAUAGCUUAAAUCUUAAGCUGGAUGUGUAUUUAGUUUAUCCACUUAAUCAUGCUAUAUAACAACUAUGCAAUGUUCUAUACAUGUUAUUAGUAGUCCUAUUGGUAACGUUGUGCUUUUAUAUUUUGCUUAUGCUAUCUUAGUAGUCCGUUGGAAAAAAUAUUAACAUAGAUGCAUUGAAGAAAUGUAUUAGUACAAGACAAUGGUGUCAUAUAUAUUAUGAAAUAAUUGCAAUAACAAUUAUGGAUAGGAUUGCCUAAAGGUGAUAUAUAAACCUAUUCUUUCAUCUUGUAUUUUAAUUGGUAAAAAAGUAAAUUUAUGCCCCUGUUUUUUAUUUCUUUCAUGCACAAACUAUAUAUAUGUAUAUAUAUAUAU